CUCGAAGUCGUUUUGCGGGUGGAUUCAGUCGGGAGUCUACGAUCCUCUCUCGGUACGUGACCUCGCCUAAUUGGGUACGAGGGACUCCGGUGCAGAGGCGUGACUCAUAGGGGCCCGACGCAUUUCCAACCCGCACUUGUAGGACGCCGCAGCCGGUUGGGUAGCUGCGCGUGUCGGCCAUGAGGACGAGCGGUGGCAGUAGACCGUUUCUCGCUAAAAAAGUGGCGUUUGCCGGUUGUUUAGCCAGCCCGUCCGUGGCGCGACACCCGACCGAGGAAGAAGGGGUCCACUAGAUGGACCUCGCCGUUCCUAUCUCUGUAUAACCAUAUGCGAGAGCGGGCCGGCGGACAGGCGAGAUGCUGCGCCAUACCGCUCUAGUCACCGAACUGGGUGGUGCGUAGUGUCCGCUGGUGGUCCGUUGCGGUUAGACCGCUAUGGGGAUAAUUCGAUGGCUUGUGGCGAGUAGGUCGGUCACCCACCCGACCCGUCUUGAAACACGGACCAAGGAGUCUAACAUGUGCGCAAGUCAUGGGGUCUUGUUCAGGCCCAGAGGCACAAUGAAAGUGAUGCCCGAUGUCUCGAUUCGAGACAUCCGAAGUUGGGAUUUCCCGAGGAGUUCUAGCCCGAGGAAAGCACCAACGACCCGCCCUGUUCUUGUAUAAUAAAGUGUGGACGGCGUUUGAGCGCACACGUUGGGACCCGAAAGAUGGUGAACUAUGCCUGGGCAGGACGAAGCCAGAGGAAACUCUGGUGGAGGUCCGCAGCGGUU
This 769-nucleotide ribosomal RNA is filed under the name Antrodiaetus hageni. RNAcentral describes it as "eukaryotic LSU rRNA". It matches the Rfam family "Eukaryotic large subunit ribosomal RNA", at positions 431 to 885 of the family's 3401-position model. Lineage: Eukaryota; Metazoa; Arthropoda; Arachnida; Araneae; Antrodiaetidae. The record is from RNAcentral.